CCAAAGACUGGUGUAAAGCGAUAUGCAUGCUUCCCCUCACAGCGGGAAACUUGAAAAACAAAACACACCGAUAUAACAUCCCUCAUGAUGGCAGUAUCGCGGGAUUAAUCAUUCUAAUAAGUUUGAUAGUCUUACUAGCCCAAGUAAUGUACAUUUGCAACACGUUUGAAGAACAAAGCAGCAUAGCACCUGUGAUAACGCGACCUCUUCUGAUUGUCUUGAACAGCAUCGGAAUUGUAUCUUGCAUUUAGUUGGGAUACGAGAAAAAAUCAAAAAGAG
RNAcentral lists this long non-coding RNA (279 nucleotides) under Mytilus galloprovincialis (Mediterranean mussel). The record is from RNAcentral. Lineage: Eukaryota; Metazoa; Mollusca; Bivalvia; Mytilida; Mytilidae.